This 931-nucleotide ribosomal RNA is filed under the name uncultured bacterium. RNAcentral describes it as "bacterial SSU rRNA". It matches the Rfam family "Bacterial small subunit ribosomal RNA", at positions 51 to 976 of the family's 1533-position model. The record is from RNAcentral.
ACACAUGCAAGUCGAGGGGCAGCAUAAUGGAUAGCAAUAUCUAUGGUGGCGACCGGCGCACGGGUGCGUAACGCGUAUGCAACCUACCUUUAACAGGGGGAUAACACUGAGAAAUUGGUACUAAUACCCCAUAAUAUCAUAGAAGGCAUCUUUUAUGGUUGAAAAUUCCGAUGGUUAGAGAUGGGCAUGCGUUGUAUUAGCUAGUUGGUGGGGUAACGGCUCACCAAGGCGACGAUACAUAGGGGGACUGAGAGGUUAACCCCCCACACUGGUACUGAGACACGGACCAGACUCCUACGGGAGGCAGCAGUGAGGAAUAUUGGUCAAUGGACGCAAGUCUGAACCAGCCAUGCCGCGUGCAGGAUGACGGCUCUAUGAGUUGUAAACUGCUUUUGUACGAGGGUAAACGCAGAUACGUGUAUCUGUCUGAAAGUAUCGUACGAAUAAGGAUCGGCUAACUCCGUGCCAGCAGCCGCGGUAAUACGGAGGAUUCAAGCGUUAUCCGGAUUUAUUGGGUUUAAAGGGUGCGUAGGCGGUUUGAUAAGUUAGAGGUGAAAUUUCGGGGCUCAACCCUGAACGUGCCUCUAAUACUGUUGAGCUAGAGAGUAGUUGCGGUAGGCGGAAUGUAUGGUGUAGCGGUGAAAUGCUUAGAGAUCAUACAGAACACCGAUUGCGAAGGCGGCUUACCAAACUAUAUCUGACGUUGAGGCACGAAAGCGUGGGGAGCAAACAGGAUUAGAUACCCUGGUAGUCCACGCAGUAAACGAUGAUAACUCGUUGUCGGCGAUACACAGUCGGUGACUAAGCGAAAGCGAUAAGUUAUCCACCUGGGGAGUACGUUCGCAAGAAUGAAACUCAAAGGAAUUGACGGGGGCCCGCACAAGCGGAGGAACAUGUGGUUUAAUUCGAUGAUACGCGAGGAACCUUACCC